Molecule: unclassified non-coding RNA, 335 nt
Filed under: soil metagenome
Description: partial contains 5.8S ribosomal RNA, internal transcribed spacer 2, and large subunit ribosomal RNA
Rfam family: 5.8S ribosomal RNA (bases 1-120)
Source: RNAcentral
GAUGAAGAACGUAGCGAAAUGCGAUAAGUAGUGUGAAUUGCAGAAUUCAGUGAAUCAUCGAAUCUUUGAACGCACAUUGCGCCCUAUGGUAUUCCGUAGGGCAUGCCUGUUCGAGCGUCAUUCAAACCUUCAAGCUCUGCUUGGUGUUGGGCGUCUGUCCUGCCUCACGGCGCGGACUCGCCUCAAAUCUAUCGGCGGCCGGCACGUUGGCUUCGAGCGCAGCAGAAACGCGAACUCGAGACCGGCGGAUCGGCUCCCAGAAGCUACCCCCAUGAAUUUGACCUCGGAUCAGGUAGGGAUACCCGCUGAACUUAAGCAUAUCAAUAAGCGGAGGA